Long non-coding RNA from Gopherus evgoodei (Goodes thornscrub tortoise), 106 nucleotides. RefSeq lists it as uncharacterized. NCBI's taxonomy places the organism in Eukaryota, Metazoa, Chordata, Testudines, Testudinidae. The record is from RefSeq and is a predicted model, not a curated record. The transcript is spliced from 3 exons.
GCUUAAAUUAAGCUCAUAUGUUAGUCUUAAAGAUGCCACAGGAGUCUCUGUUGCUUUUUACAGAUCCAGACUAACACAGCUGCUCCUCUGAUAUCUGCUGAAAUAU